CGAACGCUGGCGGCGUGCUUAACACAUGCAAGUCGAACGGCAAGGCCCUGCUUUUGUGGGGUGCUCGAGUGGCGAACGGGUGAGUAACACGUGAGUAACCUGCCCUUGACUUUGGGAUAACUUCAGGAAACUGGGGCUAAUACCGGAUAGGAGCUCCUGCUGCAUGGUGGGGGUUGGAAGGUUUCGGCGGUUGGGGAUGGACUCGCGGCUUAUCAGCUUGUUGGUGGGGUAGUGGCUUACCAAGGCUUUGACGGGUAGCCGGCCUGAGGGGGUGACCGGCCACAUUGGGACUGAGAUACGGCCCAGACUCCUACGGGAGGCAGCAGUGGGGAAUAUUGCACAAUGGGCGGAAGCCUGAUGCAGCAACGCCGCGUGCGGGAUGACGGCCUUCGGGUUGUAAACCGCUUUCGCCUGUGACGAAGCGUGAGUGACGGUAAUGGGUAAAGAAGCACCGGCUAACUACGUG
Molecule: ribosomal RNA, 466 nt
Filed under: uncultured bacterium
Lineage: Bacteria
Description: partial 16S ribosomal RNA
Rfam family: Bacterial small subunit ribosomal RNA
Source: RNAcentral